This 1338-nucleotide ribosomal RNA is filed under the name uncultured bacterium. Its description in RNAcentral is "bacterial SSU rRNA". It matches the Rfam family "Bacterial small subunit ribosomal RNA", at positions 28 to 1387 of the family's 1533-position model. The record is from RNAcentral.
GACGAACGCUGGCGGCGCGCCUAACACAUGCAAGUCGAACGAGCGAGAGAGAGCUUGCUUUCUCGAGCGAGUGGCGAACGGGUGAGUAACGCGUGAGGAACCUGCCUCAAAGAGGGGGACAACAGUUGGAAACGACUGCUAAUACCGCAUAAGCCCACAGCUCGGCAUCGAGCAGAGGGAAAAGGAGCAAUCCGCUUUGAGAUGGCCUCGCGUCCGAUUAGCUAGUUGGUGAGGUAACGGCCCACCAAGGCGACGAUCGGUAGCCGGACUGAGAGGUUGAACGGCCACAUUGGGACUGAGACACGGCCCAGACUCCUACGGGAGGCAGCAGUGGGGAAUAUUGCACAAUGGGGGAAACCCUGAUGCAGCGACGCCGCGUGGUGGAAGAAGGUCUUCGGAUUGUAAACUCCUGUUGUUGAGGAAGAUAAUGACGGUACUCAACAAGGAAGUGACGGCUAACUACGUGCCAGCAGCCGCGGUAAAACGUAGGUCACAAGCGUUGUCCGGAAUUACUGGGUGUAAAGGGAGCGCAGGCGGGAAGACAAGUUGGAAGUGAAAUCCAUGGGCUCAACCCAUGAACUGCUUUCAAAACUGUUUUUCUUGAGUAGUGCAGAGGUAGGCGGAAUUCCCGGUGUAGCGGUGGAAUGCGUAGAUAUCGGGAGGAACACCAGUGGCGAAGGCGGCCUACUGGGCACCAACUGACGCUGAGGCUCGAAAGUGUGGGUAGCAAACAGGAUUAGAUACCCUGGUAGUCCACACUGUAAACGAUGAUUACUAGGUGUUGGAGGAUUGACCCCUUCAGUGCCGCAGUUAACACAAUAAGUAAUCCACCUGGGGAGUACGACCGCAAGGUUGAAACUCAAAGGAAUUGACGGGGGCCCGCACAAGCAGUGGAGUAUGUGGUUUAAUUUGACGCAACGCGAAGAACCUUACCAAGUCUUGACAUCCCUUGACGAUGCUGGAAACAGUAUUUCUCUUCGGAGCAAGGAGACAGGUGGUGCAUGGUUGUCGUCAGCUCGUGUCGUGAGAUGUUGGGUUAAGUCCCGCAACGAGCGCAACCCUUAUGGUCAGUUACUACGCAAGAGGACUCUGGCCAGACUGCCGUUGACAAAACGGAGGAAGGUGGGGAGGACGUCAAAUCAUCAUGCCCUCUAUGACUUGGGCUACACACGUACUACAAUGGCGUUAAACAAAGAGAAGCAAGACCGCGAGGUGGAGCAAAACUCAGAAACAACGUCCCAGUUCGGACUGCAGGCUGCAACUCGCCUGCACGAAGUCGGAAUUGCUAGUAAUCGCAGAUCAGCAUGCUGCGGUGAAUACGUUCCCGGGCCUUGCACU